GACGAACGCUGGCGGCGUGCCUAAUACAUGCAAGUAGAACGCUGAAGAGAGGAGCUUGCUCUUCUUGGAUGAGUUGCGAACGGGUGAGUAACGCGUAGGUAACCUGCCUUGUAGCGGGGGAUAACUAUUGGAAACGAUAGCUAAUACCGCAUAACAAUAGGUGACACAUGUCAUUUAUUUGAAAGGGGCAAUUGCUCCACUACAAGAUGGACCUGCGUUGUAUUAGCUAGUAGGUGAGGUAACGGCUCACCUAGGCGACGAUACAUAGCCGACCUGAGAGGGUGAUCGGCCACACUGGGACUGAGACACCGCCCAGACUCCUACGGGAGGCAGCAGGAGGGAAACUUCGGCAAUGGGGGCAACCCUGAACGAGCAACGCCGCGUGAGGGAAGAAGGUUUUCGGAUCGUAAAGCUCUGUUGUAAGUCAAGAACGAGUGUGAGAGUGGAAAGUUCACACUGUGACGGUAGCUUACCAGAAAGGGACGGCUAACUACGUG
Molecule: ribosomal RNA, 497 nt
Filed under: uncultured bacterium
Lineage: Bacteria
Description: partial 16S ribosomal RNA
Rfam family: Bacterial small subunit ribosomal RNA
Source: RNAcentral